Molecule: long non-coding RNA, 950 nt
Organism: Tripterygium wilfordii
Lineage: Eukaryota; Viridiplantae; Streptophyta; Magnoliopsida; Celastrales; Celastraceae
Exons: 4
Source: RefSeq, a predicted model, not a curated record
AAGUGGGUGAAGGUCGCGUGAAUGUUUUAAAAGAAAAAAAAAAAGGGAAAGCCACCCUUUGCACCCCACCACCUCCGGCCAGCCAUUUCCAGCGGCAGUCCGGCCACUUUUCCGGCCAGUAAGGGGACCCAAGCUUGAGACCUACACCCACACUUCAUUUGAGAAGGAUUUAAGGUACAAGUGUGGUUCUUGAAUCAAUUCAAGAGAAAGCUUGAAAUUCUUGAGUUAGUGGAACUAACAAAGUUCAAGGUUAGUGAAUUGGCGUGAAGUGUAUGCUGCUUUCUUGGUGAGGAUUGCGUGUUUACUUCGAGGUUAGACAGGAUCUCGUGCACAGGCAGCGGAUCAGCAGGAGGACGCGUGACAAAGGUGGCCUGGACUUUUGUGGUUGUGUGACACGUGUGUGUGGAUUUUUACAUAUGUAUGGUGCGAUGUUGUUACGUUUUAGUAGUUUAAGUACAUGGAUGUAGUAUGGUUAUGGUUGGAUUGAUGUAUGGUGUUGUUUUUGUUGGCUGGGAGUGGUGGCCGUGACUAGUGUGUGUUUGAUGAUGACGAUGGGGUAUGUGUUUGAUGGUGGACCUACGGGUCGGUUGAUGUUGAUGAUAUUAGAAGUGUUUUUUUUUCUUGUAUGUGAUCUGAUUACAGGUGGGUUUCCUCAAUUUAUGGGGAGAUGCUGUCGAAAUUUUUGGUAAAGUUUAUAUUGGGUUGGGACGUAACACGUGUGAUGUAUGUGAUUGUGUUUGGUGUUAGAGUUUUUGUGUAUUUGUGGUUUUCUUCACGCUUCGCUGAUCGGGGCGUGAUCAUUUGGUAUCGGAGCCAGGUUGGCUCUUUUUGGGACCUAGGGAGUGGGUCAGUAUGCAUGUGUGAGUGUGUUUGUUGUGUUGUGAUUAUAUAUGGUUCUCCAGGCCACGUCACGACCUUUGCUGAUCCGGUAUGUUUUCUUUAAUCCUGUA